Pongo abelii (Sumatran orangutan) is the source of this 148-nucleotide unclassified non-coding RNA. It matches the Rfam family "Metazoan signal recognition particle RNA". Rfam says of the family: The signal recognition particle (SRP) is a universally conserved ribonucleoprotein. The record is from Ensembl. NCBI's taxonomy places the organism in Eukaryota, Metazoa, Chordata, Mammalia, Primates, Hominidae.
GCUGGGCGUGGUGGCGCACGCCUGUAAUCCCAGCUACUCGGGAGGCUGAGGCAGGAGAAUUGCUUGAACUCAGGAGGCGGAGGUUGCAGUGAGCUGAGAUCGCGCCACUGCAUUCCAGCCUGAGCAACAGAAUGAGACUCUGUCUCCA